AAAUGCAGAAGGCAAAAAACUGCCUAGGAGAUCAUUAAUACAAAAGUAUUAUAUAAACCAAACCUGAUGUUGCCAGCUCCUUCAAUGAAUGCAGCAGUGUGACAGCCAACAAUCAAAAGUAACAAGAUAUCGAGGAAAUGCAGAAGGCAAAAAACUGCGUAGGAGAUCAUUAAUACAAUAGUAUUAUAUAAACCAAGCCUGAUGUUGGCCGCUCAUUCAAAGAAUGCAGCAGUGUGACAGCCAGCAAUCAAAAGUAACAAGAUGUCGAGGAAAUGCAGAGUGUAAUAAACUGUGUAGGAGAUUAUGAUUGCAAUAGAAUAAAAUCGACCAAGCCUGAAGUCCUUCAAUGCACGCAGCAGUGUGACAGCCAGCAAUCAAAAGUUACAAGAUAUCGAGGAAAUACAGAAGGCAAAGAAGCAGAUGUCAUCAAAGAAGAUCUUUGUUCCUGCAAUGUUUCCGCAGACGAUACAUCCAACAGAGCGAAGUGGAAGGAAAAGACUCGGAAUAAAGACCCCACCACCAUAUGGGAACAAUGCAAGGGAGAGAGAGAGAAUAUAAUGUUAUAUUUUUAUUUUUUGAUAACAUAAAAUAAA
Long non-coding RNA from Pectinophora gossypiella (pink bollworm), 593 nucleotides. RefSeq lists it as uncharacterized. Lineage: Eukaryota; Metazoa; Arthropoda; Insecta; Lepidoptera; Gelechiidae. The record is from RefSeq and is a predicted model, not a curated record. The transcript is spliced from 4 exons.